CCCUUAGAUGUUCUGGGCCGCACGCGUGCUACACUGAGUAGAUCAGCGGGUCAGGUUGCGCGAAAGUGUUUCCUAAUCUUGAAAUCCGCUCGUGAUGGGGAUUGACGGUUGCAAUUUUCCGUCAUGAACGAGGAAUACCUUGUAAGCGCGGGUCAUCAUCCCGCGCUGAAUACGUCCCUGCCCUUUGUACACACCGCCCGUCGCUCCUACCGAUUGAGUGGUCCGGUGAGGCUUUGGGAUCUGAGCGGAAAGAGUGUUUCGCUGUUUCUGCUCGGAAAACUCAGUCGAACCUUAUCAUUUAGAGGAAGGAGAAGUCGUAACA
This 322-nucleotide ribosomal RNA is filed under the name uncultured eukaryote. Its description in RNAcentral is "partial 18S ribosomal RNA". It matches the Rfam family "Eukaryotic small subunit ribosomal RNA", at positions 1470 to 1796 of the family's 1831-position model. The record is from RNAcentral.